Non-coding RNA from Cerioporus squamosus, 98 nucleotides. The record is from the annotation of a GenBank genome assembly. Lineage: Eukaryota; Fungi; Basidiomycota; Agaricomycetes; Polyporales; Polyporaceae.
GUCAGUUUGCCGGAGUGGUUAACGGGAUCGCCUGCUACUCCCCGACGUAGAUGAGCGGUUGUGCAUUGCACGCGAGUGUUCGAAUCGCUCAGCUGACG